UAGUGCAUGGGUUUUUAUAUGUUCCUCCAAAUAUAUAGACCUACUUAGAUUAUCACAAAAUUUUAAUGGCUUGUGUCGAAUAGUUGUCAUAUUGUAAAGAAAAAAUGGACAAUAACCAAUGAAAAUUUUAUUGUUUUACGAUGUCAUCUUUAGGUUACACAUCUUGGUAAAAGUUUAAAAGAAGACAGAAAUUAUUUACUUUAUUAAUAAAGCCUAAAAAGAAGCAUUAGCCGUUAUUUUGAAUUCAAAAAUUUGAUAGACAUUUCCUAGUCUAUAAAAAAUAAUAAAGUAGUUAUUAUGUU
Molecule: long non-coding RNA, 302 nt
Filed under: Lepeophtheirus salmonis (salmon louse)
Lineage: Eukaryota; Metazoa; Arthropoda; Copepoda; Siphonostomatoida; Caligidae
Description: uncharacterized LOC121116225
Source: RNAcentral